Molecule: small nuclear RNA, 164 nt
Filed under: Echinops telfairi (small Madagascar hedgehog)
Lineage: Eukaryota; Metazoa; Chordata; Mammalia; Afrosoricida; Tenrecidae
Description: U1 spliceosomal RNA (ENSETEG00000021478.1)
Rfam family: U1 spliceosomal RNA
About the family: U1 is a small nuclear RNA (snRNA) component of the spliceosome (involved in pre-mRNA splicing).
Source: RNAcentral
AUACUUACCUGGCAAGGGAAACACCAUGAUCUGGAAGGUGGUUUUCCCAGGGCGAGACUCACCCAUUGCACUGCGGGUGUGCUGACCUCUGCGAUUUCCCCAAAUGCGGGAAACUCGACUGCAUAAUUUGUGGUAGUGGGGGACUGCGUUCGCGCUCUCCCCUG